ACCUGGCUGGCUCAGUGGGUACAGCACGUGACUCUUGAUCUCGGGGGGUCGUGAGUUCAAGCCUCAUGCUGGGUG
RNAcentral lists this transfer RNA (75 nucleotides) under Felis catus (domestic cat). It matches the Rfam family "tRNA". Rfam says of the family: Transfer RNA (tRNA) molecules are approximately 80 nucleotides in length. The record is from Rfam by way of RNAcentral. Lineage: Eukaryota; Metazoa; Chordata; Mammalia; Carnivora; Felidae.